Molecule: ribosomal RNA, 611 nt
Filed under: Escherichia coli
Lineage: Bacteria; Pseudomonadati; Pseudomonadota; Gammaproteobacteria; Enterobacterales; Enterobacteriaceae
Also listed under: 5 other names
Description: bacterial LSU rRNA
Rfam family: Bacterial large subunit ribosomal RNA
Source: RNAcentral
CUGGAGGUAUCAGAAGUGCGAAUGCUGACAUAAGUAACGAUAAAGCGGGUGAAAAGCCCGCUCGCCGGAAGACCAAGGGUUCCUGUCCAACGUUAAUCGGGGCAGGGUGAGUCGACCCCUAAGGCGAGGCCGAAAGGCGUAGUCGAUGGGAAACAGGUUAAUAUUCCUGUACUUGGUGUUACUGCGAAGGGGGGACGGAGAAGGCUAUGUUGGCCGGGCGACGGUUGUCCCGGUUUAAGCGUGUAGGCUGGUUUUCCAGGCAAAUCCGGAAAAUCAAGGCUGAGGCGUGAUGACGAGGCACUACGGUGCUGAAGCAACAAAUGCCCUGCUUCCAGGAAAAGCCUCUAAGCAUCAGGUAACAUCAAAUCGUACCCCAAACCGACACAGGUGGUCAGGUAGAGAAUACCAAGGCGCUUGAGAGAACUCGGGUGAAGGAACUAGGCAAAAUGGUGCCGUAACUUCGGGAGAAGGCACGCUGAUAUGUAGGUGAAGUCCCUCGCGGAUGGAGCUGAAAUCAGUCGAAGAUACCAGCUGGCUGCAACUGUUUAUUAAAAACACAGCACUGUGCAAACACGAAAGUGGACGUAUACGGUGUGACGCCUGCCCGGUGC